UAAAGUCUAAUCUGCCCACUGAUAUAAUAUUAAAGGGSUGCAGUAUUUUGAGUGUACAAAGGUAGCAUAAUCAUUAGUCUUUUAAUUGAAGACUUGUAUGAAUGAUUGGAUGAAAUAUAAACUGUCUCUAAUAUUAUUAGUUAGAAUUUAAUUUUUUUAUUAAAAAGUAAAAAUAAAUUUAAAAGACGAGAAGACCCUAUAGAGUUUUAUAAUUAAUUUAAUUGAAAUUAUUUAUAAAGAUAAUUUUAAAUUAAUAAAUUAAAAUUAAGUUAAUUAUUUUGUUGGGGUGAUAAAAAAAUAAAAAUAACUUUUUUUAAUAAAUAUAUAUAUAUAUAUAUAUAUAUAUAUAUAUAUAUUGUAAACAAAAAUAAAUGAUUUUUUGAUCCAGAAUUUUUGAUUAUAAGAAAAAAUUACCUUAGGGAUAACAGCGUAAUUUUUUUUUUUAGUUCAAAUAAGAAAAAGAGUUUGCGACCUCGAUGUUGGAUUAAGGAAAAAUUUAAAUGCAAAAGUUUAAAAUUUUG
RNAcentral lists this ribosomal RNA (521 nucleotides) under Cryptoses choloepi. RNAcentral's name for it is "partial 16S ribosomal RNA". Lineage: Eukaryota; Metazoa; Arthropoda; Insecta; Lepidoptera; Pyralidae. The record is from RNAcentral.